Molecule: ribosomal RNA, 506 nt
Filed under: Triatoma pseudomaculata
Lineage: Eukaryota; Metazoa; Arthropoda; Insecta; Hemiptera; Reduviidae
Description: partial 16S ribosomal RNA
Rfam family: Bacterial large subunit ribosomal RNA
Source: RNAcentral
GUCCUUUUGUUUAUUAAUUUAAGGUUUAACCUGCCCAAUGAGGAAUUCAAUGGCCGCAGUAUUUUAACUGUGCUAAGGUAGCAUAAUCAUUUGUCUUUUAAUUGAGGGCUGGAAUGAAGGGUUGGACGAGGCAUUAGCUUUCUUUGAUUUAAUUUAGGAAUUUAAUUUUUGAGUUAAAAAGCUUAAAUUUAUUUAUGGGACGAGAAGACCCUAUAGAUCUUUAUGGUUUUAUGUUUUAAUAAUUUAGGGAUUUAUAUAUUUUAAGCAGAUGAAUUAUUUUGUUGGGGUGACUGUAGAAUUUAAAUAACUUCUAUUUUUUAUUUUCAUUAAUUAAUGUUCUUUUGAUCCAUAAUUUAUGAUUAGAAGAAUAAGUUACCUUAGGGAUAACAGCGUAAUUUCCUCGGAGAGUUCAUAUUGAUGAGGGAGUUUGCGACCUCGAUGUUGGAUUAAAAUAAGUUGUGGAUGCAGGAGUCUAUUUACUAGGUCUGUUCGACCUUUGAAUUUUU